UAACCUGGUUGAUCCUGCCAGUAGUCAUAUGCUUGUCUUGCAGAUUAAGCCAUGCAUGUGUAAGUAUAAGUAUUUUAUAGCGAAACUGCAAAUGGCUCAUUAAAACAGUUACUGUAUUCAUGGAAGAUAAGAUUUGGAUAUUUGUGGUAAUUCUAUAAUUAAUACAUACGCAAUAGCGGCAUAUUAAAUGAAAGCAAGAAGUGUAAACUUCUACUAAAGGAUUGUUUUUAUGCAUGGAUCACAUACAUGUAAGUGAGAGUCCUUAAAAGUUUCUGACCUAUCAGGUUUCGACGGUUAGGUAUUGGCUAACCGUGCCGUUUACGGGUAACGGGGGAUUAGGGUUUGAUUCCGGAGAAGGAGCAUGAGAGACGGCUACUACGUCUAAGGAAGGCAGCAGGCGCGUAAAUUACCAAUCCUCGAUACGGGGAGGUAGUAAAUAGAAAUAAUGACGCAGGAAUUUUUUUUCUGCGAUCGGAAUGAAUAGCUCUUAAACACAGCUAUGAAAACUAUUGGAGGGCAAGUCUGGUGCCAGCAGCCGCGGUAAUUCCAGCUCCAAUGGCGUAUAUUAAAGUUGUUGCAGUUAAAAUGCUCGUAGUCGGCUCUUCACCUUUGAGUAUCCAUUGUGCUAUUGCCUGUGGUGCAUAGAAGGAGUUAGAAGUUGUCACCUCUGGUGGCUGGCUUUUAUUGUUACUUUGAGUGAAUCGUAGUGCUUCGCACAGGCAUAUGCCAUACACGAUCUACCAUGGAAUAUCCAUAAUCUGAAAGCGUUUGUUUUGGUUUCGCCGACGCUUUUUAUACAUAUAUGAACGGCUGAGGGUAUUUAUAUUCAACUGUUAGAGGUGAAAUUCUUUGAUUAGUUGAGGAUAAGCUAUUGCGAAAGCAUCUGCCAAAGACGUUUUGGUUGAUCAAGAACGAAAGUUAGGUGAUCGAAGAUGAUUAGAUACCGUUGUAGUCCUAACUAUAAACGAUGUUGCCUGAAUGUAGGACAGGUAUUAACAUACUUCUUCUGGAUUCCAUGAGAAAUCGUAAGGUUUUGAAUUCUGGGGGGAGUAUAGUUGCAAGGCCGAAACUUAAAGGAAUUGACGGAAGGGCACCACAAAGCGCGGAGCUUGCGGCUUAAUUUGACUCAACACUGAGAAUCUUACUUGGAUAAGACAUAAAAGGGAUUGACGGAUUGAUUGCUCUUUCUUGAUUGUAUGGGUGGUGGUGCAUGGCCGUUCUUAGUUCGUGGAAUAAUUUGUCUGGUUAAUUCCGUUAACGAACGAGACUUUAACUCACUAAUUUGCAUCCUGUACCAUGUGUGCAGGUGCUAAUUAGAAGGACUGCAUAUUCCAAAUAUGAGGAAGCGUGAAGCAAUAACAGGUCUGUGAUGCCCAAUCA
RNAcentral lists this ribosomal RNA (1380 nucleotides) under uncultured eukaryote. RNAcentral describes it as "SSU rRNA". It matches the Rfam family "Eukaryotic small subunit ribosomal RNA", at positions 1 to 1477 of the family's 1831-position model. The record is from RNAcentral.